This 413-nucleotide ribosomal RNA is filed under the name uncultured bacterium. Its description in RNAcentral is "bacterial SSU rRNA". It matches the Rfam family "Bacterial small subunit ribosomal RNA", at positions 58 to 464 of the family's 1533-position model. The record is from RNAcentral.
CAAGUCGCACGAGAAAGUGGAGCAAUCCAUGAGUAAAGUGGCGUACGGGUGAGUAACACGUGACUAACCUACCUUCGAGUGGGGAAUAACUUCGGGAAACCGAGGCUUAAUACCGCAUAACAUCUUUUGGUUGAGAUACCGAUUGAUCAAACCAGUAAUGGGCUUGAAGAGGGGGUCGCGGCUGAUUAGCUAGUUGGUGGGGUAACGGCCCACCAAGGCGAUGAUCAGUAGCCGGCCUGAGAGGGCGCACGGCCACACUGGAACUGAAACACGGUCCAGACUCCUACGGGAGGCAGCAGUGGGGAAUUUUGCGCAAUGGGGGAAACCCUGACGCAGCAACGCCGCGUGGAGGAUGAAGUCCCUUGGGACGUAAACUCCUUUCGAUCGGGACGAUUAUGACGGGCCGGAAGAAA